GGAUUAGAUACCCUGGUAGUCCACGCCGUAAACGAUGUCUACUAGCCGUUGGGGGACUUGAUCUUUAGUGGCGCAGCUAACGCGAUAAGUAGACCGCCUGGGGAGUACGGCCGCAAGGUUAAAACUCAAAUGAAUUGACGGGGGCCCGCACAAGCGGUGGAGCAUGUGGUUUAAUUCGAAGCAACGCGAAGAACCUUACCAACUCUUGACAUCCAGAGAACUUAGCAGAGAUGCUUUGGUGCCUUCGGGAACUCUGAGACAGGUGCUGCAUGGCUGUCGUCAGCUCGUGCCG
RNAcentral lists this ribosomal RNA (292 nucleotides) under uncultured bacterium. RNAcentral's name for it is "partial 16S ribosomal RNA". It matches the Rfam family "Bacterial small subunit ribosomal RNA", at positions 775 to 1067 of the family's 1533-position model. The record is from RNAcentral.